GUCCACGCCGUAAACGAUGGAUACUAGCUGUUCGGAGCAAUCUGAGUGGCUAAGCGAAAGUGAUAAGUAUCCCACCUGGGGAGUACGUUCGCAAGAAUGAAACUCAAAGUAAUUGACGGGGCCCGCACAAGCGGUGGAGCAUGUGGUUUAAUUCGAUGAUACGCGAGGAACCUUACCAAGGCUUAAAUGUAGAUUGACAGGUUUGGAAACAGACUUUUCUUCUGACAAUUUACAAGGUGCUGCAUGGUUGUCGU
Molecule: ribosomal RNA, 254 nt
Filed under: uncultured bacterium
Lineage: Bacteria
Description: partial 16S ribosomal RNA
Rfam family: Bacterial small subunit ribosomal RNA
Source: RNAcentral